GACCGCGUAGCUCAGUUGGAAGAGCAUUGGGCUAGUAUUCCAAAGGUCGUAGGUCCGAAUCCCGCCGUGGCCA
RNAcentral lists this transfer RNA (73 nucleotides) under Paramuricea clavata. It matches the Rfam family "tRNA". Rfam says of the family: Transfer RNA (tRNA) molecules are approximately 80 nucleotides in length. Their secondary structure includes four short double-helical elements and three loops (D, anti-codon, and T loops). The record is from Rfam by way of RNAcentral. Lineage: Eukaryota; Metazoa; Cnidaria; Anthozoa; Malacalcyonacea; Plexauridae.